This 53-nucleotide transfer RNA is filed under the name Phelsuma borbonica. Its description in RNAcentral is "partial tRNA-Cys". Lineage: Eukaryota; Metazoa; Chordata; Lepidosauria; Squamata; Gekkonidae. The record is from RNAcentral.
UCAAAAUGCAAAUUUGAAGAAGCACUGAGAAGGUGCCGGGGCUUCUCCCGUUU